Molecule: ribosomal RNA, 2727 nt
Filed under: Brassica rapa (field mustard)
Lineage: Eukaryota; Viridiplantae; Streptophyta; Magnoliopsida; Brassicales; Brassicaceae
Description: eukaryotic LSU rRNA
Rfam family: Eukaryotic large subunit ribosomal RNA (bases 1-2107)
Source: RNAcentral
GUAAACUGAAUACCAGCUGAACCGAGCUGAUUGAACUCAAACCAACACUCGUCCAGCUGCCUAAACACUCACUCAACUCCUUUACCCUUGUUUCCAUCGUAUCCUGGUUAAGUCUCAGCUGACUGAUGUCCUUAACCUCCAUUCAGGGCCAUCAUACGCUUGUCUCAAGGUCUAAUGACCUGACUGGUGCGUCUCCCCGCACCAUGGCCCGUCCGGGCGAUCCUAUCUAGGAUCGGGGACAUGACAGCCUUAAUCGUGGUCUGCAGCAUGCGCCUCACGGUGUGCCUCGGCAUCUGCAUGCUCAUGGCAUCGGCCUGUGGGCUCCCCAUUCGACCCGUCUUGAAACACCGACCAAGGAGUUUGACAUGUGUGCGAGUCAAUGGGUGAGUAAACCCGUAAGGCGCAAGGAAGCUGAUUGGCUGGAUCCCUCACGGGUGCACAGCCGACCGACCUUGAUCUUCUGAGAAGGGUUCGAGUGUGAGCAUGCCUGUCGGGACCCGAAAGAUGGUGAACUAUGCCUGAGCGGGGCGAAGCCAGAGGAAACUCUGGUGGAGGCCUGCAGUGAUACUGACGUGCAAAUCGUUCGUCUGACUUGGGUAUAGGGGCGAAAGACUAAUUGAACCAUCUAGUAGCUGGUUCCUUCCGAAGUUUCCGUCGGAUAGCUGGAGCUCGAAAACGAGUUCAAUCGGGUAAAGCCAAUGAUUAGAGGCAUCGUGGAUGCAAUGUCCUCGACCUAUUCUCAAACUUAAAAUAGGUAGGACGGGCUGCUUUGUUGAGCCAUCCCACGGAAUCGAGAGGUCCGAGUGGGACAUUUUUGGUAAGCAGAACUGGCGAUGCAGGAUGAACCGGAAGCCGGGUUACCGUGCCCAACUACACGCUAACGUAGAGCCCACAAAGGGUGUUGGUUGAUUAAGACAGCAAGACGGUGGUCAAGGAAGGCGAAAUCCACUAAGGAGUGUGUAACAACUCACGUGCCGAAUCAACUAGCCCCGAAAAUGGAUGGCGCUGAAGCGCGUGACCUAUACCCGGCCGUUGGGGCAAGAUCCAGGCCUCGAUGAGUAGGAGGGUGCAGCGGUCGCUGCAAAACCUAGGGCGUGAGCUCGGGCGGAUUGGCCGUCGGUGCAGAUCUUGGUGGUAGUAGCAAAUAUUCAAAUGAGAACUUUGAAGGCCAAAGAGGGGAAAGGUUCCAUGUGAACGGCACUUGCACAUGGGUUAGUCGAUCGUAAGAGUCGGGGCGAACCCGUCUGAUAGCGCUUAUGUGCAAACUUCGAAAGGGGAUUGGUUAAAAUUCUGGAACCGGGAUGUGGCGGUUGAUGGCAACGUUAGAAAGUCCGGACACGUCGGCGGGAAUUCUGGAAAGAGUUAUCUUUUCUGUUUAACAGCCUGCCCACCCUGGAAACGGCUCAGCCGGAGGUAGGGUCCAGCGGUUGGAAGAGCACCACACGUCGCGUGGUGUCCGGUGCAUUCCGGCGGCCCUUGAAAAUCCGGAGGACCGAGUGCCGCUCACGCCCGGUCGUACUCAUAACCGCAUCAGGUCUCCAAGGUGAACAGCCUCUGGUCGAUGGAACAAUGUAGGCAUGGGAUGUCGAGAAAAUGGAUCCGUAACUUCGGGAAAAGGAUUGGCUCUGAGGGCUGGGCUCGGGGUCCCAGUUCCGAACCCGUCGACUGUUGGCGGGCUGCUUGAGCUGCUAACAUGGCGAGAGCGGACCGCCUAGUGUUGGCCGGGGGACGGACUGGGAACGGCUCUUUCGGGAUCUUUCCGGCCGUACAGCCAACUCAGAACUGGUACAGACAAGGGGAAUCCGAUUUGUUUAAUUAAAACAAAGCAUUGUGAUGGUCCCCGCGAUGCUAACGCAAUGUGAUUUCUGCCAAGUGCUCUGAAUGUCAAAGUGAAGAAAUUCAACCAAGCGCAGGUAAACGGCAGGAGUAACUAUGACUCUCUUAAGGUAGCCAAAUGCCUCGUCAUCUAGUUAGUGACGUGCAUGAAUGGAUUAACGAGAUUCCCACUGUCCCUGUCUACUAUCCAGCGAAAACAAGCCAAGGGAACGGGCUUGGCAGAAUCAGCGGGGAAAGAAGAUGUAGCAUCCCCGAUCCUGGAUAGGAUUGUCCGGACAAACCUUAGUGCAAGGAGACGCACCAGUCAGGUCACAUGACCUAAAGACAAGCGUGUCAUGGUCCAAACGUGGUUAAGGGAAUCAGGUAGCUGGAACUUAACCAAAAUAAGGCACAUGCAAUCUCAAAGGAGCUGGACAAGCGAGCUGGUAGCUGGACGAGAUCCGGGUGAAGCUCGAUAAAUUGAGUGAUCAGAAUCGAUCCUGGGAAAACUAAGUCUAGGUCUGUAAAUAGACCAAGGGACUUAGAAGGAUUGAAGAAGAUAAAGGAAGCAAGCUUGACACUGGGCGAUGCAGUAAGCAAGCUCGACCAGCUAGGUGAAGUGUAGUGCAGCUCGAUGUAGCUCACUGAAGUGUAGGUCAGCCCCUGAGCUGGAUGGUCUAGCUCACUCAGCUGGGUCAGCUGGGAUCAGCUCAACUCAGCUGGACUGAGUGGCUAAGUCAUGGGCAGUUGGGCCGGAUCUGGACAGUAACCGGGCCAUGUGGGUGACCCGUAAAACCGAUGGGCUGGUUGGUUCUUGGGAUUGAGCCAGGAGCUUGGGAAAUCCGUGUGGGCUUGUUUUGGACGUCUGGUAACUGCCUGAGGCGAAAGGGUGUGAUCUGGACCAUUGAUUAA